This 206-nucleotide ribosomal RNA is filed under the name uncultured bacterium. RNAcentral describes it as "partial 16S ribosomal RNA". It matches the Rfam family "Bacterial small subunit ribosomal RNA", at positions 328 to 538 of the family's 1533-position model. The record is from RNAcentral.
ACGCUCGACACCUACGGGAGUCAGCAGUGGGGAAUAUUGCACAAUGGGGGAAACCCUGAUGCAGCGACGCCGCGUGGAGGAAGAAGGUCUUCGGAUUGUAAACUCCUGUUGUUGGGGAAAAAGAGGAUGGUACCCAACAAGGAAGUGACGGCUAACUACGUGCCAGAGCCGCCGGUAAGUACUGAGCGGGGCCGUGGCGAAGGACG